Molecule: long non-coding RNA, 948 nt
Organism: Malurus melanocephalus (red-backed fairy wren)
Lineage: Eukaryota; Metazoa; Chordata; Aves; Passeriformes; Maluridae
Exons: 2
Source: RefSeq, a predicted model, not a curated record
ACUCUGGGACCUCUCCCUCAUUCCAGACUCUGGGUGAGAGGUUUUGGGAGGMCAGGAACCCCAAAACUCACCACCUUUGCCGUCCGUUUUGCAACUUCCAGCUCAUCGUGCCGUGAGGGUGAGACAGCCGAGCCGCCCACACGGUUUUCACUGGCGGCCGAGCUGCAAUUAAAAGCCGUGUGUAACACGAGGAAGACAAUCCAGGGCCUGACAAGUCAAUCCCAGAAAUCGGGUUGCAGGAGCUUUGGAAGGUGGUGGGUAAUUAGGGGCGCGGCUGUUGUGUAAAUACCUUGGUCAUUUUUGCCCCGGGGGGGUUAUUGCAUUUUCAGGAAGGGACUCGGGAACCGUAUAAAAGCCCUCGGAGGGGAGAAGCAGCUCAUUCRCUCGGCUCCGCUUCUCCUCCAGAGCCUUCACAGCCCAGGUUUUCCACCUUCACUCCAAAACCAACCCAAAAAUGUGCUCCCGGGAGAACAGAGGCUGCCACAGCUCCGAGAGCUCCUCCUGCCACGGCGGCAGCUCCUCCUGCCACGACAGGGAGCACUCGUGCCACGGUUCCGAGGGGGUGGUGUGCCACGAGGUGACCGCCGUGCCCGAGGUGACCCCCGUGGUGGUGUUGACCCCUCAAUGCCCGGUGGCCACCGGCCAGGGCCAGGUGGCCCARGUUCCGUGCCAGCAGCAGCAGCAGCAGAUCAAGCAGCCGGUGCAGUGGCCGCCGCAGCAGCAGCAGAAGUGAGGAGCCCCCGGAGAUGCUCCUGUCCCCUGUCCCCGAGCUUGGACAGGCCCUGCUCCCCCUCUGCAGCCCCUUCCCCUUAUCCUGAGAACCCCAAAGUGGCAUUAGCGCGGUGGAAUCGGGAUUUCUCCCCUGCGCCGGGGGAAUUCCGCUCUCUCCGUUCCCUGCUCCCGUCUCCAGUAGCAAAGCUGUGAUAUUAAAACCUGAAGCUCAUCCAA